AUUGGAGGCUCCUUUUGAAGUCUCUAGAUGAAGCCAUUAGGAUUCUACAUGGACACUCAAGAAAAAGAGAGAAAUCAUAGAAAUUCUCACAAAAAAGCAAAACAUCCGGUCAUCAAUCGGUAAACUCAAAUCAUCACCGCCAUUGGAUCUAUUAUAUUUUCUAAAAAAUUACUCAUCUAUACCAUUAUGAAAAUAGCCUAAAAUAACUCCCUAAAUCAAUAUCUAAUUACCCACCUAUGCCAUUAUGAAAAUAGCCUAAAGUAGCCCCCUAAGUCAAUAUCUAAAUUACCCAUCUCUGCCAUUAUAUAAAAUAAACUAAAGUAACCCCUAAUCAUCAUCAAAAUUACCACACUUAUGCUAUUAUAAAAAAAAUUAAAACAACCCCUAAAUUUGCAGCUAAAUUGCCCACCACUAAUACUUCAAAAAUAACUUAAAGUAACCUCUUAAAUUUGAAUCUAUAUUACCCACAUAUGCCAUUUUUAAAUAACACGAGGUAACCCUAAAUUGAUUCCAUAUCACCUUAAUUAAC
This 529-nucleotide long non-coding RNA is filed under the name Setaria viridis. Its description in RNAcentral is "long non-coding RNA (SVIR_LNC005209)". The record is from RNAcentral. Lineage: Eukaryota; Viridiplantae; Streptophyta; Magnoliopsida; Poales; Poaceae.